UUUCCCACCACCAAUAACACUGCAGGUUAGAAGUAUUUGAAAGAUCUGGAGUCAGGCCAAACACUACACAUGAAAGAAGAUUCACCAAUUACCAUCUUUAGAUGGCAGAAUAAAGUACCUUCAGAGCCACUUAAAAGCUGACUUUAACAUGGAGUGGCAGAAGCGUCUCUUCAGACGGACACCUCUUAAAUGAAGCCCAGUUUCAACAAAGGAGCUAAAACCAAUUUGGCUGAAUUGUUAUGUUACUUGACAUCAGAAAUUGUCAGCAAGAAGGAGAAAUAAGCUUUCCAAAGAUUAAAGUUGAUAUAAUUAUUGAAGACAGAAUCAGAUUUGAGAAUGGGUCUGCUGAAUUCAAGUUUACCUUUCUCUUUUUUCCUGAUGUUGUGAUUUGAAAAGCACUCAAAGAAGCUUCUGUGAACUGACAUCUGCCCGGAUCAUGUGUAACUAGACUGAAUGAGGCCUUACAGAUCAAUGAUCAUAAGUCUGGCUGGCAGACUUACAUUUCAUGAAAUCAUAAGAGAAUAUUGAAGUAGCUUGA
Microcebus murinus (gray mouse lemur) is the source of this 538-nucleotide long non-coding RNA. RefSeq lists it as uncharacterized. Lineage: Eukaryota; Metazoa; Chordata; Mammalia; Primates; Cheirogaleidae. The record is from RefSeq and is a predicted model, not a curated record.